RNAcentral lists this long non-coding RNA (661 nucleotides) under Lathyrus oleraceus (garden pea). RNAcentral describes it as "Pisum sativum (pea) long non-coding RNA (PSAT_LNC039492)". Lineage: Eukaryota; Viridiplantae; Streptophyta; Magnoliopsida; Fabales; Fabaceae. The record is from RNAcentral.
UUUUCCUUCUCCUUUUAUCCUUUUCAUGUGCUUGUUGUUGGAAGUGUAGGAUUUUUUUUUUUAGUUGAUGAUUUGAGGAAAUAAGGUUUAAGGUUAGGAUAGUGAGAGAGGUCGAGAGACUGUUUGGGAAAAGAGAAGGUUGAAGAUGAAUGAUGGAGAGCGUCGAGAGAUUGAGAGAAGAGAUUGAGGGCGAGUACAGUGAGGGAGUAACGAAGGAGGGUCUGUUGCUCCCAUUUCUUUUCUCCUUUUGUUUUUUUUUACAAAAAACAAACAGACAUUUAAGCCACAUAGAAAACCAUUAAAAAAAUUUACUUUAGUCUUCCUUUGCAAUUUUAUUAAUUAGUUUUUGUUCCCAAUCCAUCAAUCAUUUGGAAACCCAACAACCAAGCGGCUGGGUUUAUUCCUCUGUUUUUUGUCCUUGGUAGUCCAAUAGACUGUUUUUUAUAUUAGUUUUUAUUUUAAUUUUAAUUUUUAAUUUAUCUUGGUUUAUAUGUCUAAAUUAGUAUUAAAAUAACAACUAGUCAAUAAGUGGCCUGGUGGAGAGGGUUGGUUUCUAUGGUCUUUAGUGUUGUGGGUUCGAUACCCAUAUUGAACAUUUUAUUUUCUUUUAGAAUUUUAUUUUCUGUUUAUAUUUUUAUUAUACUUAUGGUAGAUUUGUUUU